GGGCCCGUAGCUCAGCAUGGUAGAGCAGCGGACUCUUAAUCCGAAGGUCGGGGGUUCAAAUCCCCCCGGGCCCG
This 74-nucleotide transfer RNA is filed under the name bacterium. RNAcentral describes it as "tRNA-Lys". It matches the Rfam family "tRNA". From Rfam's summary of the family: Transfer RNA (tRNA) molecules are approximately 80 nucleotides in length. The record is from RNAcentral. RNAcentral also lists the same sequence under 7 other names.